UGAGUAACCUGCCCUUAACUCUGGGAUAAGCCUGGGAAACUGGGUCUAAUACCGGAUAUGACUCCUCAUCGCAUGGUGGUGGGUGGAAAGCUUUAUUGUGGUUUUGGAUGGACUCGCGGCCUAUCAGCUUGUUGGUGAGGUAAUGGCUCACCAAGGCGACGACGGGUAGCCGGCCUGAGAGGGUGACCGGCCACACUGGGACUGAGACACGGCCCAGACUCCUACGGGAGGCAG
This 234-nucleotide ribosomal RNA is filed under the name uncultured bacterium. RNAcentral describes it as "partial 16S ribosomal RNA". It matches the Rfam family "Bacterial small subunit ribosomal RNA", at positions 118 to 351 of the family's 1533-position model. The record is from RNAcentral.